This is a long non-coding RNA of Bombus impatiens (common eastern bumble bee), 1535 nucleotides long. RefSeq lists it as uncharacterized. The record is from RefSeq and is a predicted model, not a curated record. The transcript is spliced from 2 exons. Lineage: Eukaryota; Metazoa; Arthropoda; Insecta; Hymenoptera; Apidae.
GAGACCCCGGUCUUCUUUUUAUUGGUUGGUUCCUGCGACAGGUUUCACAUUUGCAAACACACCAGCCUCCAAGGUGUUAAACGGUCUGGUCGUAUCGGGACACGUCGUUUACCUUUAUCGAUCGAUCUACAAGAGCCAUUAACGCCUCAAAAGGAUACUCGUUGCCGUAUAAAGGCGAAUUUAGACUUUACACUUUGGACAUGCAUCGUGAACGAUUUAUUCGCGCGUGAAAGCUAUAAAGAUUGUUCCUAUCUGUGGUUCAUUCGGAAUGGCCAGCCAAAGAUAGAGUCAAUCUCUGCUUUCGAGUUGGAUUAUGGUGAGAGAAGCAAUAACCGACCUGUCGAAUGAAACUAAGCUAUCGUAUCAAGAUCUUCUUAAAUCAAUCCAUAGUAUCGGAAAAGAAGAAUGGAACAGGUUAUGGAGUUCGACCAGGAAAAUCCAACUUCACGUCACAGUUCAAAACUUUUAUCAUCCAAUACCUUUUGUCGAUUCUGUAUUUCAUCGAAAAACUCGCUUAAUUAUAGAUUCUAUAAUUUUACGAUUUAAUGAUAAUUCUAUGGUUUUACAAUGUUUUUACUAUUUUGUUUGCAAUAUAAACUACGAUUUGCUUGGUCCUCGUGUGGAUUAAACAGAACGACGAAGGAGACUUUAUCGAAAGGAAUUUCGAACGAGCUCGCAGACUACAAGAUAAAUGGCUCGCUUUAAUAACGAGAACGAUGGACGACGUACGAAGAUCGUACGAUGUGGGAUCACGUAUCGACGAAAACAUAAAGCAUCACAGGGGAUUCCUGGCACGCUCGGUUUAAGUUAGAACCGUAAUCCGAACGCCCCUUUCUUCCUUUAUUCCAUGAACUCCGCCCCGUGAAAUUUCGUCGAUAAAGACGAAACACACGGCAGAAGCAGCGUGGCAGACAGAUUGGCUGACUUUACGCGAUCGCUCGUUAACUCGAAGUAAUCGAAAAUUCUUUCAUCCGGAAUGGGAGAAAAAAGAAUGCGCCUCGACGUAUGGAAGUAUUCUUUAGAGUCAGGUAUUUUGCCCUUUCUCCAGUAUCGAACCAUCGUAAAUCAUCCGUCGAUGUUUCCAAACCGCAGCUCGUUCUUUGACUAAGCAACUUUGAAGAGAGCCUGUAUGUACCGAUAUAUCGAUCUUCGUCUUUUUCAUCUUUAUGAAUGACACCAGUGUGCUCGUUCCUAUUUGCCAGACUAUCCACGCUAUUGCUUAGGUUUCGUAUUUUCCCGUAAUACUUUCCUCCUUUUACGUGUAAUUCUUCGUAACUCGUUACUACUCGCAAUGACAUCUACGUUUUGGACCUCGUCUUUCAAGGGAAAUUACUUAAUUAAUGUAUCCUGUACCUGCGUACUUCUAUCGAAAGCUUCGCAGGAACCGGAACGUAUUGAACAAAAGCUAAAGAUGCUGGAACCUUUCCUUUUGGAAUUUUCUUUCUACAGGAAGAUAGUAAGUACCGCUUGUAAUUACCAAUUCGUCAUAAAUCAGUGCACUUUGUUCAAAUUCAAAUAAAACUAUUAUAACAAAU